GAUGAACGCUGACAGAAUGCUUAACACAUGCAAGUCAACUUGAACUUCGGUUUGGGUGGCGGACGGGUGAGUAACGCGUAAAGAACUUGCCUCACAGUUAGGGACAACAUUUGGAAACGAAUGCUAAUACCUGAUAUUAUGAUUUUAGGGCAUCCUAGAAUUAUGAAAGCUAUAUGCGCUGUGAGAGAGCUUUUCGUCCCAUUAGCUAGUUGGAGAGGUAACGGCUCACCAAGGCGAUGAUGGGUAGCCGGCCUGAGAGGGUGAACGGCCACAAGGGGACUGAGACACGGCCCUUACUACUACGGGAGGCAGCAGUGGGGAAUAUUGGACGAUGGACCAAGAGUAUGAUCCAGCAAUUCUGUGUGCACGAUGAAGUUUUUCGGAAUGUAAAGUGCUUUCAGUUGGGAAGAAAAAAAUGACGGUACCAACAGAAGAAGUGACGGCUAAAUACGUG
RNAcentral lists this ribosomal RNA (454 nucleotides) under uncultured bacterium. RNAcentral describes it as "partial 16S ribosomal RNA". It matches the Rfam family "Bacterial small subunit ribosomal RNA", at positions 28 to 507 of the family's 1533-position model. The record is from RNAcentral.